GACGAACGCUGGCGGCGUGCUUAACACAUGCAAGUCGAACGGAAAGGCCCUGCUUUUGUGGGGUGCUUGAUUGGCGAACGGGUGAGUAACACGUGAGUAACCUGCCCUUGACUUUGGGAUAACUUCAGGAAACUGGGGCUAAUAUCGGAUAGGAGCUUCUGCUGCACGGUGGGGGUUGGAAAGUUACGGCGGUUGGGGAUGGACUCGCGGCUUAUCAGCUUGUUGGUGGGGUAGUGGCUUACCAAGCCUUUGACGGCUAGCCGGCCUGAGAGGGUGACCGGCCACAUUGGGACUGAGAUAGGGCCCAGACUCCUACGGGAGGCAGAAGUGGGGAAUAUUGCACAAUGGGCGGACGCCUGAUGCAGCAACGCCGCGUGCGGGAUGACGGCCUUCGGGUUGUAAACCGCUUUCGCCUGUGACGAAGCGUGAGUGACGGUAAUGGGUAAAGAAGCACCGGCUAACUACGUG
Molecule: ribosomal RNA, 468 nt
Filed under: uncultured bacterium
Lineage: Bacteria
Description: partial 16S ribosomal RNA
Rfam family: Bacterial small subunit ribosomal RNA
Source: RNAcentral